Molecule: long non-coding RNA, 2139 nt
Filed under: Salmo salar (Atlantic salmon)
Lineage: Eukaryota; Metazoa; Chordata; Actinopteri; Salmoniformes; Salmonidae
Description: lncRNA (ENSSSAG00000112790.1)
Source: RNAcentral
AGGAGUAUCAUGGAGGAGUGUUCUCUUUACUGCACCAUUAGGCCAUAUUUUAUGGGUGAGAUUUAUGGGUGAAAUGGCAGUCAUCUUCCCAGGUUAGUAAUUUGUAGAUUGUGUGUGAUGCCAGCAAACAAGCGUCGAAACAGAGUGCGGGCACUGAUUCAAAUGACUUGCCAAAUUAUAUUUGUAAUUGGGAGUAACGUUUAUGUCAAAAGCUCGCCUUCCUGCCAAAUGUUUACUAUACCAUAAGAAGAUGGCUUAUGAACCCGAGAGGAUGCAUCAUAACAGCAGCAAGAGGUAGUUAUGAGACACACCUUUCUCAGAGAUAAGUACAGCAGCCACACAAAGCCUCCUUACUUAAUCAUUAACGAUCGACACUUUGGUAAGUAAAGGAACCUACAAGGAAAUGGGAGGACUAAUUUUAGCAGGAGCUCAGAAGGUAUCAGACACAGUUACACAAAGAAGCAAGGGACAAGCACGUCUUCAUAUUGGGGAGAUCAAGUCAAGAGACACAAGAUGAACCUGUUCACCCAGCAAACUGUGAUGCUUUGGCUCUGUGUUGCUCGUACACUCACGACGGCAGAGCUGGUGAAGCUAAGCACUGUUGACUCUGUCAUUGUGUGGUGUCACCAGAGUGUCCGCCUCCAAUGUAACAUCUCCACCUCCCAGGAGGGACUGUUGAUCAAACAUCUGGCCUGGGUCCGCCAGGACGGGAAGCACCUGUGUGAUGUUAACGGAACUGAAGUGACCGGGACCCACCCAGGGAGCACAACUAGUGCUAUGGAGUGUAGUUAUACCCCACAGACACAGCUGUCCCUGACUCUGCUGCAGGUACGACCACUGGAUCAGGGAAAGUACUUGUGCAAGCUGCGCUCCAGUCAUGGAGUAAAGGAGGCCACUACAAUGGUGAAGCUGCAAGAGUCCUACAAGGAGGCCCAGCCCAGUAUCAGUGAUGAGGGCCCAACCUGCACCUUCACUGGGGUCUAUCCUGAUGGCGAGGUGCACUGGUUCCAGGGACCCAACAACGUGACUGGGGACUCUACAAUCAACACUAAACAAGUGGAAGAUGGAGCGUCAUUGACUAUAACUAGUUCCCUGAAAAGAAAGACAGUCUCUGGGGAAGAGGCCUACAACUGCUCCCUGUGGAUCCCCAGUACCGGAUCCUACCUGACCAGCAGCUUAGUGGUACCAGAGCAUGAUAAAGCCAGGGUUGCGCAGCCCAAUGCCAGUGGGUCAGGGUCCAUUGGUCCUUUGUGGAAACCUUUUCUAGUCCUCCUGAGUACUCUCUUCCUGGUGUGACGUCUUGAAAACAAACAUGAACAAAUUGACAAGCAAGUGCCAGGAUCAUUUAAUAAGAAUAUGGAAGAGCCAUUGUGUGAGGUUCCUUUCAUGGUCCAAAGGUUUCCUUGGCUGCGUAGAACAAGGAAAUGAUGAACAGAUGAGAGAGGCUGAUCAACCUAUUGUGAACGCACCCUUGUUGGUCUGCCAGUGCCAGAUAUAAAUGAUUGUUAAUUAAAAACUGCAAACGGCAGUAGAAACAGUAACAAAGCUUACUUCCUGCCAGUUUUGGUAAAAAAUUGAGGGAUGGGGCUGGAGAAAUGUAACCACUCUCAAAUUCAUAGACGCGCUUUGGAUGCAUGGACUGACCAUCCAUGAUAUCAAAAUAAUAGUUUUAACAAUGUUUUGAGGCUAUAUAGUGUUUUAUUAAAUUGGAGUUGAACAAGCUUCUGAUGGGGUAAGAGAGUUGCACUAAGCUCAUGAGGCAUUUAUAAGUUACAUUCUUCAAGAAUUAAUGUGUACAUAUUAAAAAAAUGAUGUGACAACUACUGAUUGCCCCUUUAAGGGCGUGACCUUUUGUAGAAAAGCCUUCCUGUUUGCGUUAAUCAGAGAGAUCCCCUUGGACAGGAGCGGUGGUUUAACUGGGUUGAUUUUUUUUGUUGUUGAUUUUUUAAGUACAAUGGUAAAUGUAGUGUUUGCUGGCGCCCAUAGUCCACCUAGACACAUCCUCCGUGAGUGUUGUAACACCAACGUUUAACUGAAUGAGAAUUGUGAGAAAUGUAUUGUUAGUAAUGUUUGUUUGUGAGGUGAUAUUCCUGCUUAGGAUGGAUGUAAAUAAAUGGCUGCAUCCUGAUUAUCCCAUGC